RNAcentral lists this ribosomal RNA (1433 nucleotides) under uncultured organism. Its description in RNAcentral is "SSU rRNA". It matches the Rfam family "Bacterial small subunit ribosomal RNA". The record is from RNAcentral.
UACAGGCUUAACACAUGCAAGUCGAGGGGCAGCAUGGUCUUAUCUUGCUAAGGCCGAUGGCGACCGGCGCACGGGUGAGUAACACGUAUCCAACCUGCCGUCUACUCUUGGACAGCCUUCUGAAAGGAAGAUUAAUACAAGAUGGCAUCAUGAGUCCGCAUGUUCACAUGAUUAAAGGUAUUCCGGUAGACGAUGGGGAUGCGUUCCAUUAGAUAGUAGGCGGGGUAACGGCCCACCUAGUCUUCGAUGGAUAGGGGUUCUGAGAGGAAGGUCCCCCACAUUGGAACUGAGACACGGUCCAAACUCCUACGGGAGGCAGCAGUGAGGAAUAUUGGUCAAUGGGCGAGAGCCUGAACCAGCCAAGUAGCGUGAAGGAUGACUGCCCUAUGGGUUGUAAACUUCUUUUAUAAAGGAAUAAAGUCGGGUAUGGAUACCCGUUUGCAUGUACUUUAUGAAUAAGGAUCGGCUAACUCCGUGCCAGCAGCCGCGGUAAUACGGAGGAUCCGAGCGUUAUCCGGAUUUAUUGGGUUUAAAGGGAGCGUAGAUGGAUGUUUAAGUCAGUUGUGAAAGUUUGCGGCUCAACCGUAAAAUUGCAGUUGAUACUGGAUAUCUUGAGUGCAGUUGAGGCAGGCGGAAUUCGUGGUGUAGCGGUGAAAUGCUUAGAUAUCACGAAGAACUCCGAUUGCGAAGGCAGCCUGCUAAGCUGCAACUGACAUUGAGGCUCGAAAGUGUGGGUAUCAAACAGGAUUAGAUACCCUGGUAGUCCACACGGUAAACGAUGAAUACUCGCUGUUUGCGAUAUACUGCAAGCGGCCAAGCGAAAGCGUUAAGUAUUCCACCUGGGGAGUACGCCGGCAACGGUGAAACUCAAAGGAAUUGACGGGGGCCCGCACAAGCGGAGGAACAUGUGGUUUAAUUCGAUGAUACGCGAGGAACCUUACCCGGGCUUAAAUUGCAGAUGAAUUACGGUGAAAGCCGUAAGCCGCAAGGCAUCUGUGAAGGUGCUGCAUGGUUGUCGUCAGCUCGUGCCGUGAGGUGUCGGCUUAAGUGCCAUAACGAGCGCAACCCUUGUUGUCAGUUACUAACAGGUUCCGCUGAGGACUCUGACAAGACUGCCAUCGUAAGAUGUGAGGAAGGUGGGGAUGACGUCAAAUCAGCACGGCCCUUACGUCCGGGGCUACACACGUGUUACAAUGGGGGGUACAGAGGGCCGCUACCACGCGAGUGGAUGCCAAUCCCCAAAACCUCUCUCAGUUCGGACUGGAGUCUGCAACCCGACUCCACGAAGCUGGAUUCGCUAGUAAUCGCGCGUCAGCCACGGCGCGGUGAAUACGUUCCCGGGCCUUGUACACACCGCCCGUCAAGCCAUGGGAGCCGGGGGUACCUGAAGUGCGUAACCGCGAGGAGCGCCCUAGGGUAAAACUGGUGACUGG